UUGCUCCAUCGAAAGAAAAAGAGUGGCGAACGGGUGAGUAACACGUGGGUAACCUGCCCAUCAGAAGGGGAUAACACAUGGAAACAGGUGCUAAUACCGUAUAACACUAUUUUCCGCAUGGAAGAAAGUUGAAAGGCGCUUUUGCGUCACUGAUGGAUGGACCCGCGGUGCAUUAGCUAGUUGGUGAGGUAACGGCUCACCAAGGCAACGAUGCAUAGCCGACCUGAGAGGGUGAUCGGCCACACUGGGACUGAGACACGGCCCAGACUCCUACGGGAGGCAGCAGUAGGGAAUCUUCGGCAAUGGACGAAAGUCUGACCGAGCAACGCCGCGUGAGUGAAGAAGGUUUUCGGAUCGUAAAACUCUGUUGUUAGAGAAGAACAAGGAUGAGAGUAAAAUGUUCAUCCCUUGACGGUAUCUAACCAGAAAGCCACGGCUAACUACGUGCCAGCAGCCGCGGUAAUACGUAGGUGGCUAGCGUUGUCCGGAUUUAUUGGGCGUAAAGCGAGCGCAGGCGGUUUCUUAAGUCUGAUGUGAUAGCCCCCGGCUCAACCGGGGAGGGUGAUUGGAAACUGGGAGACUUGAGUGCAGAAGAGGAGAGUGGAAUUCCAUGUGUAGCGGUGAAAUGCGUAGAUAUAUGGAGGAACACCAGUGGCGAAGGCGGCUCUCUGGUCUGUAACUGACGCUGAGGCUCGAAAGCGUGGGGAGCGAACAGGAUUAGAUACCCUGGUAGUCCACGCCGUAAACGAUGAGUGCUAAGUGUUGGAGGGUUUCCGCCCUUCAGUGCUGCAGCAAACGCAUUAAGCACUCCGCCUGGGGAGUACGACCGCAAGGUUGAAACUCAAAGGAAUUGACGGGGGCCCGCACAAGCGGUGGAGCAUGUGGUUUAAUUCGAAGCAACGCGAAGAACCUUACCAGGUCUUGACAUCCUUUGACCACUCUAGAGAUAGAGCUUCCCCUUCGGGGGCAAAGUGACAGGUGGUGCAUGGUUGUCGUCAGC
Molecule: ribosomal RNA, 1000 nt
Filed under: Enterococcus sp.
Lineage: Bacteria; Bacillati; Bacillota; Bacilli; Lactobacillales; Enterococcaceae
Description: bacterial SSU rRNA
Rfam family: Bacterial small subunit ribosomal RNA
Source: RNAcentral